UGGGGAAUAUUGCACAAUGGGGAAACCCGUAGAUGCAGCGACGCCGCGUGAGUGAAGAAGUAUUUCGGUAUGUAAAGCUCUAUCAGCAGGGAAGAGAUUGACGGUACCUGACUAAGAAGCCCCGGCUAACUACGUGCCAGCAGCCGCGGUAAUACGUAGGGGGCAAGCGUUAUCCGGAUUUACUGGGUGUAAAGGGAGCGUAGACGGUAAAGCAAGUCUGAAGUGAAAGCCCGCGGCUCAACUGCGGGACUGCUUUGGAAACUGUUGUACUAGAGUGUCGGAGGGGUAAGUGAAUUCCUAGUGUAGCGGUGAAAUGCGUAGAUAUUAGGAGGAACACCAGUGGCGAAG
This 348-nucleotide ribosomal RNA is filed under the name uncultured Clostridium sp. Its description in RNAcentral is "bacterial SSU rRNA". It matches the Rfam family "Bacterial small subunit ribosomal RNA", at positions 355 to 720 of the family's 1533-position model. The record is from RNAcentral. Lineage: Bacteria; Bacillati; Bacillota; Clostridia; Eubacteriales; Clostridiaceae.